AACGCGAAGAACCUUACCUGCUCUUGACAUGUCAGGAAGAUCUAAGAGAUUAGAUUGUGCCUUCGGGAACCUGAACACAGGUGCUGCAUGGCUGUCGUCAGCUCGUGUCGUGAGAUGUUGUCUUAAGUGACGCAACGAGCGCAACCCUUGCUACUAGUUGCCCCAAUUAAGUUUGGCACUCUAGUGGGACUGCCGGUGCUAAGCCGGAGGAAGGUGGGGAUGACGUCAAGUCCUCAUGGCCCUUAUGAGCAGGGCUUCACACGUCAUACAAUGGUAGGUACAGACGGUUGCUAAGCCGCGAGGUGGAGCUAAUCCGAGAAAGCCUAUCGUAGUCCGGAUUGUAGUCUGCAACUCGACUACAUGAAGUCGGAAUCGCUAGUAAUCGCAGAUCAGAAUGCUGCGGUGAAUACGUUCCCGGGCCUUGUACACACCGAGACGAC
Molecule: ribosomal RNA, 440 nt
Filed under: uncultured bacterium
Lineage: Bacteria
Description: bacterial SSU rRNA
Rfam family: Bacterial small subunit ribosomal RNA
Source: RNAcentral